RNAcentral lists this ribosomal RNA (248 nucleotides) under uncultured Lactobacillus sp. Its description in RNAcentral is "partial 16S ribosomal RNA". It matches the Rfam family "Bacterial small subunit ribosomal RNA", at positions 114 to 355 of the family's 1533-position model. The record is from RNAcentral. Lineage: Bacteria; Bacillati; Bacillota; Bacilli; Lactobacillales; Lactobacillaceae.
CACGUGGGGAACCUGCCCCAUAGUCUGGGAUACCACUUGGAAACAGGUGCUAAUACCGGAUAAGAAAGCAGAUCGCAUGAUCAGCUUUUAAAAGGCGGCGUAAGCUGUCGCUAUGGGAUGGCCCCGCGGUGCAUUAGCUAGUUGGUAAGGUAAAGGCUUACCAAGGCGAUGAUGCAUAGCCGAGUUGAGAGACUGAUCGGCCACAUUGGGACUGAGACACGGCCAAACUCCUACGGGAGGCAGCAGUU